Molecule: long non-coding RNA, 3716 nt
Filed under: Homo sapiens (human)
Lineage: Eukaryota; Metazoa; Chordata; Mammalia; Primates; Hominidae
Description: HSALNT0281216
Source: RNAcentral
GUAGAGACGGGGUUUCACCAUGUUGGCCAGGCCGGUCUUGAACUACUGACCUCGUGAUCUGCCCGCCUUGGCCUCCCAAAGUGCUAGGAUUACAGGCGUGAGCCACCACGUCCAGCCGGAUUUUUUAUGUGAUAGUCAUCACUGAUGACCAGAUAAGGCCUUGUGCUGCCACACCUAAAAAAUGGCUCCUGCACCCAUGUAAGAAGCAAUCUGCUUUCUCAGCCAUCUUGGCUCACCUGUUCUUUGACUACCCCACCCUGCCUGGGGCUCCAGUACUGAGUGUAUCUACAGUGCUAUGGGGACACCUAGGAGAACUCUAACCAGUCUUGAGAUGGGCUUGCUGUGGGUAAGACAGUGAAAUUCAAGGAAGGAAUAGAAGACGGUGGAGAGAAGAAUAGAAAAACACUCUGGACAGAGAGGAAAGAGCAUGAGUGAGAAAAAGCCUGGGAGCUUUGGGGAAAAUAAAAUAGUUUUGAAGGGGCUGAAGCUAAAGUGUAGACGAGGGGCAAGUAGAGGGAAGAUUAGGAGACGAAUGGACCCUGAUGACGCAAGAGCAGGAGCAGCGCUGUUCUAUGUAUGGCAUGUGGAAAAUGUGAGACUUCCAUUUCAGGGCAAUGGGAAGUUGAGGGAAGAUUUCAAAUAGGAGACUGACGCAAUCACAUCUCUAUUCUAAAGAGAACAAUCUUACUGUAUUUUCAAACCUGAGAUUGGAUCAGACAGAAUCAAGGAUUGAGAAUGUUACAAUACUCUGGGAUCACAUAAGGAAUAAGCACUGCAAAGAUCAGAUUAUUUCCACAUAAUUUCUUAAAGUGAUAAAGCAUAGGUGGUAGCAGUAAUUACAGAACACUCUGCUUUUUAUCAAUGUGAUAAUAGGGAACCUCUUAAACCAGACAUUAAGUAGGAAUCCUGUUAAGGCAGAAAAUAUAUAUAUUUUUCUCUCUAUAUAUAUGUAUAUAUAUGUGUGUUUAUAUAUGUAUACAUAUAUGUGUAUAUAUGUGUGUGUGUGUAUCACUGUGUCACCCACACAGAGAAAGAGAUCUGGGAACUGCCAGUUGCUUCUCAAUAUAGGCAGAACAGAAAGUCAAUUUGAGCAGUGCUUUGUUCUGUGAAGAGGCUUUUCAGUGGUUUCUCUUAAUUGUACAAAUUUGUGCGGCUAAGCAAAGUUACCACUUCACUUCUUAUGCAUUGCUCUGCUCACAGCCUAGACACUAGGAGUCCAAUGGAGUCAAUUCUGAGAGCAGGCCAGGUGAGGUCAAGCUCACACCUGAGUCUCUAACCAGGGGCCUUAGUGUUGUGGAGAAAAGCUGGAUUCACCAGGUACUAUUUAUUGGGAAAAAGUAAUUAAUCACACCUGUGUCAGAGAGCUGUGACGUUGGAACCCAACUGUAUUACCUUGUGUUUGAAAGUGGGAAUGAAGGACUAUUAUCCUUUCCUCUGAAUCUCAAUAAGAACCAGGACUUGAUAGAAAUUCAUGGAGCAGGGUGGAGCUUAGGAAUAAGUGAUGUAUGUCCACCAAAUAAGGGCAAAUAAGGAUUAAAAAGGAUAAAUAGUAGUUAUGAAAGUAAUAAAUGAUGGGACUGUGUUUGUACCUUUGGCCAAUGAACUAGGAUAUGCCAAUUACACAACAGGUUUUUAGCAUCUGAAUUUUGGGAGUCACCCAUUCAUAUUCCAUUUUAUAGUCUCUUGAUUUUAUUUAAGCCUAUAUUCUUUGCUUUAAAUUCUCAUUUUCACCUAAUACACGCUUCAUCCAUUAAAUCCAAUUCAAAUGAAACUUCUUCCAAAAUGCAGGCCUGCGCUUUCAAAAAAUACUCAUUUAAUUUUUCUUCCUCCUUCUCUUCUCCUUUCUCCAUAGACUUUGGAACAUAUUUCUGUUUUAUCAUAAUAUAGUCCUUUCAGUAUCUGCUUUGCUCACAUAUCUAGCCCAGCAACUUGACUAUGCAUUCCCCAAAGGCAGAAAUUAUAUCUUUAUUUACCUUCGUAUUACCAGGACCCAUUACAGCAUCUUGAAUAUAUUAAGAACUCAAUACAUAAUCUCAAAUUAAUGAAUAACCUGCUUAAUAUCCUUUGAACUUUCAUUUUACCUUGUUUCCCUUUUUUUAAAGCUUCAUUAAUUAAAGGCUACAUGUCUACAUGUCUCCACAGCCCAAAUUUAUCGUGUAAACUAGGCUUCACAUUGUAAGUAAGUACAGAGCCUCCUCAUUCAGGUAUUAUUUCAGUGGUAUUAUUCCACACCAGCUUGCAAAAGUCAGUUACCACAUUUUCAGAAAUUCUGUGAGCAGGCUGUUAAGCACAGUCAUUGAAAAUUAAAUUAUAGAAAUACAAAAAAAAUUAAAAACAAAAAUAAUAGAUACUCAAAACUUCCAAAUUAUUUUGCUACAUUUUACCAUUCAUUCACUCAUCUUUUGAGAUUGUUUACAGCUAUAGUAUCCGUAUGGUGGAAAUACUAUACAAUAGUGUACUACUGCACAUCUCUUCUCAACUAUAUGUUUAAUGACAUUAUGUUGGUAGCUUGAAAAAGACGAUAGGGGGAGUAUUUACUCCAUACAUUGGCAAAUGCUACAAAUCAGGCUAUGAUUUAUUGUUUUGUUGACUGACUGUACUUAAAAUGUGACAGGGAAAAUGUUAAUAAUGCAGGUUAAAUUAAAAGUAUGUCGUGUCUAUAGCUGCCAUAUUGGGAAUAGCACAAACAUCAAGAAAAUAUUCUCCUACUAAAAUAUGAUUCCGCAAAGAACUCAUUUACAUCACUGAUGAGUGAGUAAAGUUCUGAUAUGCACCUCCAUUGUUUUAUUAGCUAAUGUAAACAAAAAUAUGAACUGUAUUCUUGGCAGAACUACAUUUAGAGCCAAGUGUUAAACAUUUACCAGAUGCUACUGUCUAUAAAAUUAUUUUUUACAUACAUAGUAUGCAUAUUUUAAUAGCUUUACUGAGAUACAAUUCACAUAGCAUGAAUUUGUACAAUUCCAUGGUUUUCUGUAUAUGCACAGAAUUGUACAAUCAGAACCACAAUCAAUUUUAGGACACUUUUAUCACCCCAAAAAGGAACCCUGUACCAAGUGGCAGCCACUCCCCAUUUUAGCCCCUAGCAACUACGAAUCUACUUCUACUUUCUGUCUCUAUGGACAUCUGGUAUAAAUGUAGUCAUACAAUAUUAUUGCCUUUUAUGUCUGGUUUCUUUUGCUUAGUUUAAUGUUUUCAAGGUUUAUUCAUGUUAUAUAGCAUGUAUCAGUAAUAUCCCAUUGUGUGAAUAUAUCCCAUAUGUUGAUUUUGUUUAUCCAUUCAUCAGCUGAUGAACAUUUGGGUUGUUUCCACUUUUUGGCUAUUGUGAAUACUGCUGCUAAGUUUUUGUGUGGACAUUAUGUUUUCAUUUUUCUUGGGUACAUACCUAGGAGUGAUGUUGCUAGGCCAUAAGAGAAUCUUAUGUUUAAAUAUUUGAAGAAAUAACAAAUUGGUUUUCAAAGUGGCUGUGCCAUUUUACAUUCCUGCCAGCAAUGUAUGAGGGUUCCAGUUUCUCCACAGGCUUGUCAACACUUCUUAGCAUCUGUCGCUUUGAUUAUAGCCAUCCUAGUGAGAGUGAAGUAGGAUCUCUUUGUGGUCCCUAACAUUCAUAUUAAACCAAAAUUUUAUUAUUAAAUAUAGCUAUUUUGCUAAUCACCAGUACUGUUCAAAAUUAUGAAAACAUCAAGAUAAAAAGGCUUCUCAUUGGAUCGUAGCAUGCA